CAUGUGGUUUAAUUCGAUGCAAAGCGAAGAACCUUACCAAGGCUUGACAUACUGGCUCAAGCUAAUGUGAAGGCAUUUUGUGUUGUAAGGCUUGCCUUACAUAGUCAGUACAGGUGCUGCAUGGCUGUCGUCAGCCCGUGCCGUGAGGUGUCCGGUUAAGUCCGGUAACGAGCGCAACCCCUAUGUUUAGUUGCCAGCACGUAAGGUGGGAACUCUAAAGAGACUGCCGGCGACAAGCCGGAGGAAGGCGGGGACGACGUCAAGUCAUCAUGGCCCUUAUGCCUUGGGCUACACACAUGCUACAAUGGCGGAUACAAUGGGUUGCCAAACCGUGAGGUGGAGCCAAUCCCAUCAAAGUCCGUCUCAGUUCGGAUUGCAGGCUGCAACUCGCCUGCAUGAAGUUGGAAUCGCUAGUAAUCGUGGAUCAGCACUGCCACGGUGAAUACGUUCCCGGGCCUUGCACACACCGCCCGUCACACCACGAAAGUCGGUUCUGCCCGAAGUGGUUGAGCUAACCCGCAAGG
Molecule: ribosomal RNA, 524 nt
Filed under: uncultured bacterium
Lineage: Bacteria
Description: bacterial SSU rRNA
Rfam family: Bacterial small subunit ribosomal RNA
Source: RNAcentral